Molecule: transfer RNA, 68 nt
Filed under: Lamellomphalus manusensis
Lineage: Eukaryota; Metazoa; Mollusca; Gastropoda; Neomphalida; Neomphalidae
Description: tRNA-Trp
Source: RNAcentral
AAGAUUUUAAGUUAACCAAACUAAUAGCCUUCAAAGCUUUCAUUAAAAUUAAAUUAUUUUAAAUCUUG